This 458-nucleotide long non-coding RNA is filed under the name Numida meleagris (helmeted guineafowl). RNAcentral describes it as "lncRNA (ENSNMEG00000020434.1)". The record is from RNAcentral. Lineage: Eukaryota; Metazoa; Chordata; Aves; Galliformes; Numididae.
GAACUAGCAAUGUCAAUAAUAAUAAACACCUUAAAGCCUGUUAUUGUUUUUUUUUUUAGAUCACUUAACUGGAAUACACGAUAUUCACAUGACUUCAUACAACACCUGUCUGCAGGGCUCACUGGGCAAAACCUUUAUGAACCAUCAAGCCACAGCAAAUUCCAGUUGUUUUGAUAUUGCUCUUGCUCCUGCAGUUCAAGAAUCUUAGCUGAUAGCAGGCUGAGAGCUCUUUUUGCAGUUCCUGUGGAGUUCUGCUCAGUAUUCUGGUAAAAGAAAGUAAUAUUUUCAGUAGACUUCCCUGGAAGUAUUUGUUGCUGACAACUUGCCUUUAGCUGUCAGACUGUAAAACCAUCUUCACCUAAGUGACUGACCAGCCAAAUACAUUUAGAAUUCUAUCCAUAAUGAGCAGGCUUUAAAAAAAAAAUAAAAAUAAAAAAAAAUUGUAGAUUUUCUCUGUC